This 127-nucleotide small nuclear RNA is filed under the name Zalophus californianus (California sea lion). Its description in RNAcentral is "U4 spliceosomal RNA (ENSZCAG00015007013.1)". It matches the Rfam family "U4 spliceosomal RNA". From Rfam's summary of the family: U4 small nuclear RNA (U4 snRNA) is a component of the major U2-dependent spliceosome. The structure of U4 snRNA from yeast and human has been reported. U4 snRNA presents a k-turn RNA motif in the 5p-SL related to recognition of Snu13 protein. Lineage: Eukaryota; Metazoa; Chordata; Mammalia; Carnivora; Otariidae. The record is from RNAcentral.
AGCUUUGCGUAGUGGCAGUAUCGUAGCCAAUGAGGUUUAUCCAAGGCGUGAUUAUUGCUAAUGCUCUUUGGUUGCUCUCUUAAAAUUCUUAAUAAUUUUAUCUUUGAAUUUAUAUUUUAUAAGUGAA